RNAcentral lists this ribosomal RNA (254 nucleotides) under uncultured bacterium. Its description in RNAcentral is "partial 16S ribosomal RNA". It matches the Rfam family "Bacterial small subunit ribosomal RNA", at positions 524 to 776 of the family's 1533-position model. The record is from RNAcentral.
UACGUAGGGGGCGAGCGUUGUCCGGAUUCAUUGGGCGUAAAGAGCUCGUAGGCGGUCUGUCACGUCUGCCGUGAAAACCCGAGGCUUAACCUCGUGGCUUGCGGUGGAUACGGGCAGACUAGAGGUAGGUAGGGGAGAAUGGAAUUCCCGGUGUAGCGGUGAAAUGCGCAGAUAUCGGGAGGAACACCGGUGGCGAAGGCGGUUCUCUGGGCCUUACCUGACGCUGAGGAGCGAAAGCGUGGGGAGCGAACAGG